UCCCACCGAAAAACACACACAGACACAGUGCAACAGGUCCCUGCCUCGCCCGCCGCCGUCCUGCUCCCUCCAGAGACCUUUCGCCUUUUGUCAAGGGCCCACAUUUAUGACUUGAUGAAAACAUUUGUAAUAGAUCAUCAAAUACUGAUACAUUCCGCGGGACAAUAUCCCAUUUGUUAAAUAUAAAUUAACAUUAACACAGAUCCCCCGUCGCAGAAAGGCAAAGGGUUUUGACACCUUUUCAGCAGGACAGGCCGGGCCCCAGCAAAGAAAGCCGAGGGCCUGUAAAGGAACUUGUCCCGAAUGGUGAUCCUCAGGCUCUUGUGUGACAAGCGACUGUUAUGGUGUAAUGUAAAUGUAUGUCUUGGCGAGCACAUGGAAGGAAUUAAUGACGACAUCCCAAAUAUCAUGCUAUGGAAAACAAGUUAUCCGUACACAAUAACUCUGUUAGCUGGCUUAGAUGAAGAAUACUUCUGAGAAGCUUGAUGACAACGGCACUUGACUGGGCAGUGAAGCACGGCAAUCUUGAGAUGGCAGAGAUGGUCGCCAAAGCAGGCGUCGAUGUCAAUGCUAAAUCGUAUGUCACUUAUUUCAUUGUGACAGGGGUAAUGUAUUUGUAAACUGUGCUAUAAAUAUUGGAAUCUCAUAUUCAGACACCGGCAUAUCUCAUAUUCAGACACCAGUAUUUCUGAGCUAUGCUUUUUCAAAUGAAUUUAGAAUUGACAAAAAUUUUCAAAGCCAAAUUACUAGUGUGUCACUGUGAAAUUAGGUUCUUGACCCUGCUUCUGAUGUAUGCUUAUUUUUCUACACAUUUUCUCCUUCAAUUUUAUGCAUCACUAUUCACUGCUGGAAUUGGUGACAUGGCUUUCCCAAAAGGGGGAUUCUGUGUGUUUAGUCCUUGCAAAUUCAGGGAGAGCUACUGCAUCUCAGAGCUGUUUACAAGAGUAUAAUUUGGCCUCUACUGCUGGAGGAAGAAUACUGCCAGCAAGAGCUGUGUGACUGCCAGCACUCACCAUUUUGCUCUGCUGUGUGGCAAUUGAAGCCACAUCUGCAGGCUGUACUUGCUCCUGAACCGUAUGAACUCCUAAGCCAAGAUGGAGACUCGAGUGCAAAUUCACCUCCUGAUGGUUAAUAGCAGUUACAUCCAAAGACCCUGAGGAGAAUCCCUAAUUCCACUAGAGUUCCACCUUCUUCUGGAAACCCUUUUGUUGUGAGCAGGCCUGGCUCAAGGGGAUAAUAGGAGCUGGAAAUACGAGUAUAUUUGAGAAAUGCACAUAUACACUACAGACACAUAAGCUUGACCGUCUUUAGGAGCUGUCUGGUAACUUUCUACAAAGCAGCUUGACCUCCUACUGUUAUUUUUUUAUAUUUGUAUUUACUUUAUCACACAGAAAACCAAUCAUGUUACUCUGUCAUACCAGUUAUUUUAUGAAAGUAGACAGAGGCAUGUAGCAGCUCAGAAGAGCUUAGUCUCCUGAAAAGACACAGCGCUUUCUUCCCUUGAGGUCUGAAGUUAUUGGGGCAACAGAAAUGCUUAGAUUUUGUUCUAUUAAAUCCGGGUAAUAGAAUAAUAGAACAUAAUAACAGUAACAUAUUCUUGAAAAGAACCAGUACUUAAAUAUGUCCUUGAAAAAUAUCAUCAUAAUUUUAUAUCACCUACAUUAAAAGUUCAACAUCAUGUUACACAAGAGACUUGACUUGAGAGCAUACAUCCAUUUAAAUUGUUGCAAAAUGCAAUAUAAAAUUAUCUUCCAUGUUGCUGUUGGGAUCAUUCUGCUGCUUUUAUUUGGAUGUCAAAGUGACAGGCCAUUAACCUAGGGGUAAGCUAAUUAUUUAAGGAACUUUUCUUGUUUUGUACAAUGAAGAAGUAUUCUUGAAAAUACAACAUAAACAUAGAUAUCUGUGUCAGAUGGUAAUGGUCCAUUUCUUUAAAAUAUGAAAACAUAAUUUUAGCAUUCAAACAGUCAAUUCAGUGAUAAUUUAAAAUAAAACAAGAACAACCAUCAUUAAAUGGUUCUGUUUCUGGACUUAGAUUGAUGCUUAACACAUUGAUCUUCUCCAAUAGAAGCUUUCCAUAUUCCAUCUGUUAGAAUCUUUGACCUUUUCUUAACACCAUUAAAAGAUAAAAUGUUAAUCUACUGAAAAAAGAUGCAUGACCUUUUAAAAGUGAACUGUACCACUUUACAGUCUGCCAUCAUUAAAGAACUUUAUGCUCAGGAGCCCCGCAUUAUGUGUAUCAUAGCAAUAUAAUUGUUUAGAAUAAUGUAAUUGUUCAACCAAGAAGAUAUAUACCACACAUAACAUAAAUUAGAACUAGAACUAUGUGAACUUUGAAAACCCAAUCAAAAUAACAUGUCAGAUCAAGUCUCACUUUCAGUUUUAAUCAGCCUCAACCUCAAAUUUAUUUUUUAUUAAUAUGCUACAAUGCAUGCCUAGAAGAUACCAUUUUAACAAAGAAGAAGAGAGGUACUUUGGGACAAAUGAAACUACAUCACUGGCAAAGGAAGAUGCUUAUCCUCCUUUGUUUAAAAUCAUAUUUACUUCUUUUUUCACUAUAAAGAAAUUAUUGGAGCACAAAUAUUUUAUAUUUCAUAAGGAAUUUCAAUAGCAGGGAAAAUAAUGAAAAUGGACUUAACUUGUUUUUAAUAAAUAUGAAUUAUCUUAACAUGAUUUCUUAAAAACAGUGGCCACAAUUCAGAGCAGUGCUGAAACCUGGUUUAAAUCCAGUUCAGUAUCAGAUAAUAAUUAGUUUUGAAUAUGGGCUAAUUUGACUCCAAAUUAAUAAACAAAAGAGAAUGAAAAAAAGUAAACGCAUGAUAUAGGCUCAGAGAACCUAAUCUUAUCUUCUGGUAAGAUGUAAGUUUUAUAUGAAGCUCAUCAAAUUGUUUUGAGGACAUGGCUGUAUAGUAGUGUGUCUACUCAAUAACUACUUAACAGAGGAUAUUAGAAAGUUUAUGCAUUUAAAUAUGAUGUUCUGCUAGUACCUUUUAUUAUAUAGUUUAAAAAGCCUUUCUACAGAUGAAGACUCUAUUCUAUCUCAACCUAAAUUCUAUAAAAGUCCCAAAGUUUUCCCAUUUUCCACAGUAAAACCAGUGAGCUUAGACUGGAUAAUUUGGGGUUGGAAUAUCCUCUAUGCAUGUUUUUCCAGUGGAAUUUAGUCCUUAAGGUAAGUGGCUGCAUGCAAAAUAGAGAUGUAAGCUUUCUAACGUAACAUAAAUUUAGGUCCUGGUA
This is a long non-coding RNA of Passer domesticus (house sparrow), 3231 nucleotides long. RefSeq lists it as uncharacterized. The record is from RefSeq and is a predicted model, not a curated record. The transcript is spliced from 6 exons. NCBI's taxonomy places the organism in Eukaryota, Metazoa, Chordata, Aves, Passeriformes, Passeridae.